RNAcentral lists this ribosomal RNA (306 nucleotides) under Triticum aestivum (bread wheat). RNAcentral's name for it is "partial small subunit ribosomal RNA". Lineage: Eukaryota; Viridiplantae; Streptophyta; Magnoliopsida; Poales; Poaceae. The record is from RNAcentral.
AUGAAAGUUUUGUCUCCAUCCCGCCGGGGAUGCUCCUUCAUCAUGCCGGACGAGAUUGAUUACAACGAGUUCUCACUCUUCUUCUCAAUUGAAGAAGCUCUAGAACCUGAUUACUUGCUCAACCAGCUCAGACAGAUGCCCAAAGAGAAGUGGGUUGAGAUGUGGUCAAAGCUGAAAAACAUCUCUAGCCACUAUGAAUUCCAGUAUCCCCCCAUGAAGGAUGAUGCCGUGAACAUGAUAUGGCACAGAAGACUGCCUAUGCUCGUCUGCGAGAAGGGCCCACCUUCAAGCUCUCAUGUAUUGUAA